GACAGGGAAUUGUACUGAGCUUCAAUUGCAAGCAGACGUGCCCUCCCGACAAAGGUGGUGAGACUGGCCGUUAUUGGCCUAAUCACCAGGCGGCCGCAAGCUUCUCCAUCUACCGGUCUUCAAGUAGAGAGAUCCCGUCCGGCAGCUUCCAUUACACAACUCGAAAACAUCUCGAAGGCAAUCCGUGGCGGCAAUCUCUGAGUGCUUGGACGAUAAGAAGU
Molecule: long non-coding RNA, 221 nt
Organism: Branchiostoma belcheri (Belcher's lancelet)
Lineage: Eukaryota; Metazoa; Chordata; Leptocardii; Amphioxiformes; Branchiostomatidae
Exons: 3
Source: RefSeq, a predicted model, not a curated record